UGAGGGACGAAAGCUAGGGGAGCGAAAGGGAUUAGAUACCCCUGUAGUCCUAGCUGUAAACGAUGGAUACUAGGUGUUGGACGUAUCGACCCGUUCAGUACCGCAGCCAACGCGAUAAGUAUCCCGCCUGGGGAGUACGCACGCAAGUGUGAAACUCAAAGGAAUUGACGGGGGCCCGCACAAGCGGUGGAGUAUGUGGUUUAAUUCGAUGCAACGCGAAGAACCUUACCUGGGCUUGACAUCCCUCGAAUCUCUGUGAAAGCGGAGAGUGCCUUCGGGAGCGAGGAGACAGGUGGUGCAUGGCUGUCGUCAGCUCGUGUCGUGAGAUGUUGGGUUAAGUCCCGCAACGAGCGCAACCCACGUCCUUAGUUGCCAUCAUUCAGUUGGGCACUCUGGGGAGACUGCCGGGGACAACUCGGAGGAAGGUGUGGAUGACGUCAAGUCAUCAUGCCCCUUACGUUCUGGGCUACACACGUACUACAAUGCUUCGGACAAAGGGCAGCCAACUAGCGAUAGUGAGCUAAUCCCAUAAACCGAGGCACAGUUCAGAUUGCAGGCUGCAACUCGCCUGCAUGAAGGAGGAAUCGCUAGUAAUCGCCGGUCAGCAUACGGCGGUGAAUACGUUCCCGGGCCUUGUACACACCGCCCGUCACACCAUGGGAGUUGGCCACGCCCGAAGCCGUUACCCUAACCAUUCGUGGAGGGGGGCGUCGAAGGUGGGGCUGAUGACUGGGGUGAAGUCGUAACAAGGUAGCCGUAGA
RNAcentral lists this ribosomal RNA (761 nucleotides) under uncultured bacterium. RNAcentral's name for it is "bacterial SSU rRNA". It matches the Rfam family "Bacterial small subunit ribosomal RNA", at positions 747 to 1506 of the family's 1533-position model. The record is from RNAcentral.